RNAcentral lists this unclassified non-coding RNA (235 nucleotides) under Basidiomycota sp. Its description in RNAcentral is "partial contains small subunit ribosomal RNA, internal transcribed spacer 1, and 5.8S ribosomal RNA". The stretch from base 1 to 47 matches the Rfam family "Eukaryotic small subunit ribosomal RNA", at positions 1785 to 1831 of the family's 1831-position model. The record is from RNAcentral. Lineage: Eukaryota; Fungi; Basidiomycota.
AAAGUCGUAACAAGGUUUCCGUAGGUGAACCUGCGGAAGGAUCAUUAACAAAUCCAUUAGUAAGUGGAAAUUUUCCACUUACAUGAACCCGGAUCUCCGAGAGGAGAUUCGCCUGUAAAUGAAUUAAACCAAAUUUUGGUUAAGUUUGUUUACAGAAAUAGGCUAUGUUUUGUAUGUCUUAUUUUAUAUAAAAUUUAAUUAUAAACAACUUUUAACAAUGGAUCUCUUGGCUCUU